This 64-nucleotide transfer RNA is filed under the name Salpa fusiformis. Its description in RNAcentral is "tRNA-Ile". Lineage: Eukaryota; Metazoa; Chordata; Thaliacea; Salpida; Salpidae. The record is from RNAcentral.
AGUUUUAUAGUGUAUAUUAAGCACUGUUUAUUGAUGUUAAACCAGAAGAUUUAUCUUAAAACUU